This 530-nucleotide ribosomal RNA is filed under the name uncultured bacterium. RNAcentral's name for it is "bacterial SSU rRNA". It matches the Rfam family "Bacterial small subunit ribosomal RNA", at positions 355 to 896 of the family's 1533-position model. The record is from RNAcentral.
UGGGGAAUAUUGCACAAUGGGCGAAAGCCUGAUGCAGCGACGCCGCGUGAGGGAUGACGGCCUUCGGGUUGUAAACCUCUUUCGACAGGGACGAAGCGUAAGUGACGGUACCUGUAGAAGAAGCACCGGCCAACUACGUGCCAGCAGCUGCGGUAAUACGUAGGGUGCGAGCGUUGUCCGGAAUUACUGGGCGUAAAGAGCUUGUAGGCGGUUUGUCGCGUCGUCUGUGAAAACUCACAGCUCAACUGUGAGCUUGCAGGCGAUACGGGCAGACUUGAGUACUGCAGGGGAGACUGGAAUUCCUGGUGUAGCGGUGAAAUGCGCAGAUAUCAGGAGGAACACCGGUGGCGAAGGCGGGUCUCUGGGCAGUAACUGACGCUGAGAAGCGAAAGCGUGGGUAGCGAACAGGAUUAGAUACCCUGGUAGUCCACGCCGUAACGGUGGGUACUAGGUGUGGGUUUCCUUCCACGGGAUCCGUGCCGUAGCUAACGCAUUAAGUACCCCGCCUGGGGAGUACGGCCGCAAGGCUA